RNAcentral lists this long non-coding RNA (361 nucleotides) under Heterocephalus glaber (naked mole-rat). RNAcentral's name for it is "lncRNA (ENSHGLG00000032465.1)". The record is from RNAcentral. Lineage: Eukaryota; Metazoa; Chordata; Mammalia; Rodentia; Bathyergidae.
AGCUGUAUUCAUGUGGUUAACUUGCUCUUCUGCUGCAUUCUGUUUGUACUAAGAUAUUUUUCUCAUUCAAGAGCACGUAAAGACUCAAAGGCUUGCAAGAAGAAGAAGGAGAAGGAGGAGGAGGAGGAGGAGGAGAAAAAAAUAGGCCUUUAAAAAAUCCAAGUAGCUGUAAGGGUACAACAGAAAACCGGUGUGUGUGAGGAUACAUUUUUGGAUAAUUUUUCAUGUUUUCUGCUGUUGCUAGUUUUUAAUUACAUGGGGGAAAAUCUGCCAUUUGAACAAUUUGGCCACCUACAACCUGAUCUGUGCCUUUUUGAUAUAAGAUCGAACUCGGGUCCUUGCACAUGCGCAGAAGGCGGCG